UACGGAGGAUCCAAGCGUUAUCCGGAUUUAUUGGGUUUCAAGGGUGCGUAGGCGGCUUAUUAAGUCAGGGGUGAAAGACGGUGGCUCAACCAUCGCAGUGCCCUUGAUACUGAUGAGCUUGAAUACACUUGAGGUAGGCGGAAUGUGACAAGUAGCGGUGAAAUGCAUAGAUAUGUCACAGAACACCAAUUGCGAAGGCAGCUUACUAAGGUGCAAUUGACGCUGAGGCACGAAAGCGUGGGGAUCAAACAGG
Molecule: ribosomal RNA, 253 nt
Filed under: uncultured bacterium
Lineage: Bacteria
Description: partial 16S ribosomal RNA
Rfam family: Bacterial small subunit ribosomal RNA
Source: RNAcentral